RNAcentral lists this ribosomal RNA (429 nucleotides) under uncultured bacterium. RNAcentral describes it as "bacterial SSU rRNA". It matches the Rfam family "Bacterial small subunit ribosomal RNA", at positions 34 to 507 of the family's 1533-position model. The record is from RNAcentral.
CGCUGGCGGCAUGCCUAACACAUGCAAGUCGAACGAAGCCUUCGGGCUUUAGUGGCGCACGGGUGCGUAACACGUGGGAAUCUGCCCUUUCGGUUCGGAAUAACAGUUAGAAAUGACUGCUAAUACCGGAUGAUGACGUAAGUCCAAAGAUUUAUCGCCGAAGGAUGAGCCCGCGUAGGAUUAGGUAGUUGGUAGGGUAAUGGCCUACCAAGCCGACGAUCCUUAGCUGGUCUGAGAGGAUGAUCAGCCACACUGGGACUGAGACACGGCCCAGACUCCUACGGGAGGCAGCAGUGGGGAAUAUUGGACAAUGGGCGAAAGCCUGAUCCAGCAAUGCCGCGUGAGUGAUGAAGGCCUUAGGGUUGUAAAGCUCUUUUACCAGGGAUGAUAAUGACAGUACCUGGAGAAUAAGCUCCGGCUAACUCCGUG